AUGCAUUCUCAAAACCCUCCUGGUACUGUUUCAAUAAUAACUUCCAGGAUAAGGAGAAAUGCAAAAAAAAAACACCACCAGUAGAGUUAUCCAAAAUGCAGUAUUAUUUUGUAAUUCUGCAUUAUUUCAGCUCUUCAACAAGU
RNAcentral lists this small nucleolar RNA (143 nucleotides) under Pseudonaja textilis. RNAcentral's name for it is "Small nucleolar RNA SNORA14 (ENSPTXG00000001931.1)". It matches the Rfam family "Small nucleolar RNA SNORA14". Rfam says of the family: ACA14 is a member of the H/ACA class of snoRNA that guide the sites of modification of uridines to pseudouridines. The record is from Rfam by way of RNAcentral. Lineage: Eukaryota; Metazoa; Chordata; Lepidosauria; Squamata; Elapidae.